GACGAACGCUGGCGGCGUGCUUAACACAUGCCAGUCGAACGGAAAGGCCCUGCUUUUGUGGGGUGCUCGAGUGGCGAACGGGUGAGUAACACGUGAGUAACCUGCCCUUGACUUUGGGAUAACUUCAGGAAACUGGGGCUAAUACCGGAUAGGAGCUCCUGCUGCAUGGUGGGGGUUGGAAAGUUUCGGCGGUUGGGGAUGGACUCGCGGCUUAUCAGCUUGUUGGUGGGGUAGUGGCUUACCAAGGCUGUGACGGGUAGCCGGCCUGAGAGGGUGGCCGGCCACAAUGGGACUGAGAUACGGCCCAGACUCCUACGGGGGGCAGCAGGGGGGAAUAUUGCACAAUGGGCGGAAGCCUGAUGCAGCAACGCCGCGUGCGGGAUGACGGCCUUCGGGUUGUAAACCGCUUUCGCCUGUGACGAAGCGUGAGUGACGGUAAUGGGUAAAGAAGCACCGGCUAACUACGUG
This 468-nucleotide ribosomal RNA is filed under the name uncultured bacterium. Its description in RNAcentral is "partial 16S ribosomal RNA". It matches the Rfam family "Bacterial small subunit ribosomal RNA", at positions 28 to 507 of the family's 1533-position model. The record is from RNAcentral.